UCCUACGGGAGGCAGCAGUGGGGAAUCUUACGGGAGGCAGCAGUAGGGAAUUUUCCCCAAUGGGCGAAAGCCUGAUGGAGCAACGCCGCGUGCAGGAUGAAGGCCCUAGGGUCGUAAACUGCUUUUAUGUGAGAAGAAUAUGACGAAACACAUAAAUUAACUCGGUUUC
This 169-nucleotide ribosomal RNA is filed under the name uncultured bacterium. RNAcentral's name for it is "partial 16S ribosomal RNA". It matches the Rfam family "Bacterial small subunit ribosomal RNA", at positions 312 to 499 of the family's 1533-position model. The record is from RNAcentral.